This 1480-nucleotide long non-coding RNA is filed under the name Mus musculus (house mouse). RNAcentral's name for it is "long non-coding RNA chr6:22115040-22116520". Lineage: Eukaryota; Metazoa; Chordata; Mammalia; Rodentia; Muridae. The record is from RNAcentral.
UUUUUUUUUUUUUUUUUUUUGCUUUUGAGAAAUCACUUCUUUAUAUUCUCUAUGGAGUUUGUGGAUCAUAUCAUAAUUUCUUUAUGUAUCUAUAACUAUGGGUGUUUUUGAAGAUAAUUAUCAGAUAAUAAUCAUCCUAACUGGUAUGAGGGCUUACCUUGCUGUAGUGUUAAUGUGUAUUUCCCCAGUAAUUGGCAGUAUUGUUUACUUUUUUACAUAGUUAAUGUAAAUACUAAUACUUAAAUUUCUAGUACUCUUCAAUCAGAGAGGACAAAAUGUCUUUCUUUCUUUCAUUCACCAUAACACCAAAAGAAGCCAUGGGGAACUUGAUUUAUUACGUACAAUACUAUGGCACACAAGCCCAGAUCAAAAUAUAUUAGUAUUCUGGUGAAGGUUCCUAGUUAGUCAAGGACUUUUCUUAAAGAAAAACUAAUAUUGGUUAAUCUUCCAUCUCUUUUCUCUAGCUCUAGGAUUAAAUUUUCUUAUCUUAAAAACUCUUUCAAAUAGCCAUAAACUUCUGUUUUUCAAAAUCUUUAUUAAAAGUCACUGUGAAGAAAAUGCAUAUCGUUUCAUUCUAGUAAGGCACACACAAGAAACAAAUGCCAUGUAGAUAAUGUAUCUGCAGUACAGGACUAAGCCCAGCGUCUUAGGUUCUGCCAACGAGCUAUAUCCCUAGCCUAAUACAUUGUUUUAAAACUACACUAUCUGGAAGCUGUUGUAAACAAUUCCUCUAAUGCUUCUAUAAAGCCAUAUUUAGGAUUCUUCCUUCAAUAACCUUACUAAACCCUGAUUCUGCCUCAGAUACUGGGAUGUCAAAAGUAAAAGAGGUAACACCCAGCCUAAAAUAUCUCAGUCUAGAGAGAAGAAGAGACAAAAAGAUCAACAGGUCUGAAUCAGAAUAACUAGCAUGCAUUAAUCAAUAGCCAAUCAAUACGUUGAGAAUAAUUUGUCCAUUCUCUCUCAUGAGGGAAUAGAAAUAUUGGGAUGGUGAUGAGGUACUCAAAUCGGGUGAAGAGUCAGGACACUUUCAAAGUAUUUUAAGAUCUCAAAUGCACAGUAAAAGCUUACCUCUAAAUACUUUGGCACAUUCUCAGUUUCUCCCUUCCACCUUCAAUUCAUAAUUGUGGUUCACUUAUUCGUGUCUCCAUUGCUUGAAUGAAUUAACGUUGUAAAUGCUAACACAUCUUACUGAUUUUUUUUUAUACCUACAAAUGAGCAAUGCUGUUUAAGCUGCCCAUCUUUACAACUGCGAUCUCGCAAGGUCAUUUUCUAUCCAUUUACUUAGCACUAAAUUUGGGUGGUGGUGUUGCACAGACAGGAAAAUGAGUAGUCUGUAAGACAGAGUAACAUCGUGAGUAGCUUUACUCAUUCUGCGGUUGUCCUUGCCUGUUUUGAUUGGAGUUUUCAGAGAAAUCCUACUGUGUACCCUAGAUUGGCUGUAAAACGUUGCGGUAAAAUCUCCAACCCAAAUAAGCCCGUG